AUGAAUUUUAUGUUUUCUAUUUUUACCGUCUUUUACCUUUCAGUUUUUACAGUCUUUAAAAUUUAUUUCAGUGUUUUUAUUUCUGCUUUAUUUAAUUUCCAGUUUUAAUUUAAUUUUUCCGUACCAAAAACCAAAUUUUCAUAACAACCCCCCCACUUCGUGUUUGAUCCGAAACUGAACCAAAUUUGGUCCUUGUGAGACGACCUAGGAGUCACAUCCUAGCUAUACUGCAUUCUUUAAUUGCAAUCAAAUUUGUAUGACCGCGACAGUCGUUACCAGUAACUAUCAUGGGCCAGCAUGAAUAUGGUGAUGCAGACGCCUGAAUGUACGGGGUAAACCCAUCAGAGCAUAGACCAAGUCUGACAUUACGCGGUUCACUAGCAAAGGAUGGAUGUUUACGAUUGAAGUGCUUCCAAGCUUCACCAUCAGAAGGAUGACGCAAAAAUCCUUCAGUUUUGUUACCAUCGUGCCAUGUCAUGUGUUCUGAUGUUUGCAUUGAAGUAAACAUUAUUUGCAAUCUUGGUAUUAUAGGCAAGUAGAACAUGGACUUUAAGGGAAUUGGUUUUCUUUGCCUCCGUCCAGCAUGCAUCGUAUGAUAUCGAGAAGUCCACUGCUUGAAUGGGAACGUUCCAAUUAUAUUUGCCAGCCAUGAGUCUAAUGCACACUGACAAUUUUGACUCAGAUGAACCUUCAAAUACAGCAUGACGACGAAGAGCAUUGUCGACCAUCUCUUGCAUAUAGGAAAAUUGAUCUAUCUCAGAUGUAUGUACAAUAGUAUUCGAACUUGAUGCAAGCCGCUUUUCAGCUGCAGUGGAGGUCGAUGGAAUUUCUUCACCAUGAUAUGUCAAAACCGUGUAAUUAGGCAUGAACCCUUUUUGGUAAAGGUGAAGUUUGACCACUUCAUCUUUCAGAAUCCUUGUACAUUCGCACUUGAUGCAUGGACAUCGAAUUCCUCCAUCAAGGGCAUAAUAUUGACAUCGUCGGGCCGUCUCCACAAACUCUUCAACUCCAAGGACAAAAGAUUCCUUCAAACCUCUCCUUCCACUAUAACAACGGUCGUACGUCCAUCCACGAUGAUUGGGAAAAUGGGCCAUGUUCUGUGACAAGCCAAAGAAAUCAAAACUUAGCCAAAACAACAACACUCCAUGUGACAUAAGUAAUAAACCUAUUACUACUCAAGUCGAACAUGGAAGGCAAUUUCAACACUAUUGUCAUAGGCAUUCAAUAAGGGCAUGCAAAGACAAGUCCUCAGUAUUGAACCGUCUUUGACAUCCUAAGUGGUUGUGUAUUAAAUUUGGGGGAGUCAAUUUUCUAACAUUACUGAAGUUCUCUUUUAUAGAGUACUUCCACAUAUUUUGUACAUUGUAAGUGUUUAAGGUACUUUCACCCUUCUCAUUCCAUUGAGAAUGUGUGUAGUACGAUAGGACUUCA
Long non-coding RNA from Vigna angularis (adzuki bean), 1431 nucleotides. RefSeq lists it as uncharacterized. The transcript has 3 exons. NCBI's taxonomy places the organism in Eukaryota, Viridiplantae, Streptophyta, Magnoliopsida, Fabales, Fabaceae. The record is from RefSeq and is a predicted model, not a curated record.